UUGCCUCAGUAACGGCGAGUGAAGCGGCAAAAGCUCAGAUUUGAAAUCUGGCGUCUUCGGCGUCCGAGUUGUAAUCUGUAGAGGAUGCCUUUGGGUAGCCACCGGUCUAAGUCCCCUGGAACGGGGUGUCACAGAGGGUGAGAAUCCCGUAUGUGACCGGAAGGGCGCCCUAUACAUGGCUCCUUCGACGAGUCGAGUUGUUUGGGAAUGCAGCUCUAAAUGGGAGGUAAAUUCCUUCUAAAGCUAAAUACCGGCCAGAGACCGAUAGCGCACAAGUAGAGUGAUCGAAAGAUGAAAAGCACUUUGGAAAGAGAGUUAAAAAGCACGUGAAAUUGUUGAAAGGGAAGCGCUUGCAACCAGACUUGUUGGCGGUGUUCCGCCGGUCUUCUGACCGGUCUACUCACCGUCUGCAGGCCAGCAUCAUCUGGGACCGCUGGAUAAAAGCGGAGGGAAUGUGGCUCCUCCGGGAGUGUUAUAGCCCUCUGUGUAAUACAGCGAGUCCCGGGUGAGGUCCGCGCUUCGGCUAGGAUGCUGGCGUAAUGGUCGUAAGCGGCCCGUCUUGAAACACGGACCAAGGAGUCUAACAUCUAUGCGAGUGUUCGGGUGUCAAACCCCUACGCGUAAUGAAAGUGAACGGAGGUGGGAACCUUUUAGGUGCACCAUCGACCGAUCCUGAUGUCUUCGGAUGGAUUUGAGUAAGAGCAUAGCUGUUGGGACCCGAAAGAUGGUGAACUAUGCCUGGAUAGGGUGAAGCCAGAGGAAACUCUGGUGGAGGCUCGCAGCGGUUCUGACGUGCAAAUCGAUCGUCAAAUUUGGGUAUAGGGGCGAAAGACUAAU
This 837-nucleotide ribosomal RNA is filed under the name Leptoxyphium citri. RNAcentral describes it as "Leptoxyphium sp. JA-2019a partial large subunit ribosomal RNA". It matches the Rfam family "Eukaryotic large subunit ribosomal RNA", at positions 75 to 935 of the family's 3401-position model. The record is from RNAcentral. Lineage: Eukaryota; Fungi; Ascomycota; Dothideomycetes; Capnodiales; Capnodiaceae.